Molecule: unclassified non-coding RNA, 147 nt
Filed under: soil metagenome
Description: partial internal transcribed spacer 1
Source: RNAcentral
UAAUAAGUGUUUUAUGGCACUUUUUAAAUCCAUAUCCACCUUGUGUGCAAUGUCAGUCGAAUCUUCUUCAUGGAGAUCGACCAAACAUCAACCUUUAUCUUUUAACUCUUUGUCUGAAAAAAUAUUAUGAAUAAACAAUUCAAAAUA